CACGGGGGGAGCAAGCGUUGUUCGGAAUCACUGGGCGUAAAGGGCGUGCAGGCGGUCAGGUAAGUGGGAUGUGAAAUGCCCCGGCUCACCCGGGGACCGGCAUCUCAUACUGCUUGGCUUGAGUACGGGAGAGGAUGUGGGAAUUCCUGGUGUAGCGGUGAAAUGCGUAGAUAUCUGGAGGAAUACCGGUGGCGAAGGCGGCAUCCUGGACCGAUAUUGACACUGAUGAGCGAAAGCCAGGGGAGCAAACGGG
This 253-nucleotide ribosomal RNA is filed under the name uncultured bacterium. Its description in RNAcentral is "partial 16S ribosomal RNA". It matches the Rfam family "Bacterial small subunit ribosomal RNA", at positions 524 to 776 of the family's 1533-position model. The record is from RNAcentral.